UGGGUUAUACAAUUCCCGAAUAUACUGAAUAAAACCAGGAUGUGAAGGAAAUGAAAAAGGCAAACCACAAACAGCAACCAUUUUAGCUAAUUCUCUACGAUCUUUUUCUUUACUAUAUGUGCGGUGUGUGCUUCGGCUAGCCGGGUUAGUCAUAUUUAAUUCACUUUGAACCAUAUUAGAACCUCCAGCUCCCAUAGAAUUUUCAGGUUGAGG
RNAcentral lists this long non-coding RNA (213 nucleotides) under Solanum tuberosum (potato). RNAcentral's name for it is "long non-coding RNA (STUB_LNC004994)". Lineage: Eukaryota; Viridiplantae; Streptophyta; Magnoliopsida; Solanales; Solanaceae. The record is from RNAcentral.